Cricetulus griseus (Chinese hamster) is the source of this 128-nucleotide small nuclear RNA. The record is from Ensembl. NCBI's taxonomy places the organism in Eukaryota, Metazoa, Chordata, Mammalia, Rodentia, Cricetidae.
GUUUUGUAUGAAAGGGAAGGGAAGAAAGGUCAGCAUUCUCCUUGGCCAGGGUAGAAGUACUCGAGUCUAACAAUAUGCAUACGAUGAAGGUAUUGUUACCUACUUUUGGCCUUUAACCACUGCUUUUU